GUUUUUAUUUCCAGUUAAUCAUUUAAUGCUUCAAUUUACACUGAAUGUGUCAGGAUUCAGGCUCGGAGACAGAGGUAAGUGAUGAACUUAAACUUUCUUUAUUAAUAAACAAGGGAAGUAUUCAGGGUUUCAGGUGCUCAGAAGUGCUCUUGAAGGAGGAUACGUGGCAGGAAUACAUCCAGGUGAGUGAAUCCUCUUCUUAGGAAUUACAUGAACGGUGACACAAGGCAAUGACUUUCCUUUUCUCACUUUCAGAUCGUCGUGGAGCAGACGGAGGACAGACAGGAUUCCAGAUCAUCCAGUAGAGGGACGAGACUCAUGGCAGAAUCCAGGACACAGGGAACGAGAAUCAUGGAGCAGAUCCUGGGAACAUCAGAACAAGGACCGAGCGGUUAGUCUUUACAGAUGGAGAGUUUUACAUAGAGUGAAUCCUGUUGCUCAUCCGGACAGACUCUCUCCUGCUAUGCUCCACUACAGUACUGUCUGUGGCUCUCCGCUCCCCUGGCUUUCAGCUGGCCUGACCUCCAGCAGUAAUUCUACUCUUACAUGUAGGCUGAAUCGAUUCCAGAGCGCCAGCACAGCUAAUUCAAGGUCAUUUUCACGUUAUUUCAUUCUCCGGCUGCACUGGGCCAAUCUUUGCUAGCCUUUCCCAGCAAGGGACUAUGGGGCUCGUUUGAGUCAGCCAACAUGUCAUAAAUAUAUCACCUUGGAGGAUUUGUGACAUAUCUUUUCUUUGUCCUCAAG
Molecule: long non-coding RNA, 744 nt
Organism: Pimephales promelas (fathead minnow)
Lineage: Eukaryota; Metazoa; Chordata; Actinopteri; Cypriniformes; Leuciscidae
Source: RefSeq, a predicted model, not a curated record